GAGCCCUGCUAGCUCAGUCGGUAGAGCGUUAGACUACUAAUCCAACGGUGAAGGGUUCGAGUCCCUUGUGGUUCG
Non-coding RNA from Symsagittifera roscoffensis, 75 nucleotides. The record is from the annotation of a RefSeq genome assembly. NCBI's taxonomy places the organism in Eukaryota, Metazoa, Xenacoelomorpha, Acoela, Convolutidae.